UACGAAGGGGGCGAGCGUUGUUCGGAAUUACUGGGCGUAAAGGGCGCGUAGGCGGCCAUCUAAGUCAGACGUGAAAUCCCCCGGCUUCAACCUGGGAACUGCGUCUGAUACUGGACGGCUUGAGUAUGGGAGAGGGAUGUAGAAUUCCAGGUGUAGCGGUGAAAUGCGUAGAUAUCGGGAGGAACACCAGUGGCGAAGGCGGUUGCCUGGAGCUUUGCUGACGCUGAGGCGCGAAAGCGUGGGGAGC
RNAcentral lists this ribosomal RNA (247 nucleotides) under uncultured bacterium. RNAcentral's name for it is "partial 16S ribosomal RNA". It matches the Rfam family "Bacterial small subunit ribosomal RNA", at positions 524 to 769 of the family's 1533-position model. The record is from RNAcentral.